CAGAAAUCAAGUAUCAGGUGAGGAAAAAGCUGUUUUAAAGGAAAAAUUGAGCGACAAUACACAAGGCUAAUGAGUAUAUUCUUAUUCUGAAACACGGCUGCUUUUUGAGACAACUGGGUGAGCGGGAACAGGGAUCAUGAGGUGCUGGUAAACACAGCAGAGAUGUCAGAUCAGUGUAAUAAGGACGGGGGUGAGCUCUCGGUGUGUUUUGUAUCACUAUCAAAAGGCCAACAUAUUCUUUUCACAGAAUUUAUAUUUUAUAAUAAGAAAGGAGACAGAUUAAAGACACCGAAGAGCUUUUAACUGAUUCGGUUGUAGUCAAGAGUCGUUUUUUUGUUGUUGCAGUGUUGUUAUUGAUGGAGGAACUACAAGCAGGGCUUUGCGAAAGAGCUAAGUGACUAUAAACAAGAUAUAAAGCUUAUGCCAACACAACAUUCGAAUACUUCAUUGCCUUUUGACGAUAAAAGAGUUGAACUGGGUGCAUAUUUGAGUUAUUUGGACAUUUAUUAGGACAUUUCAGCACACAUUCAGACACGGGCUGUGGCUGUGCGGCUACGAAAAGGGUCCCUGUGAUCCAAGUGCAGUAAAAGAUUAAAUUCAAAGAUGUACAUAAUGUCUGUAAAGCUCCAUGGAUUAAAUAUACAAAGACUGUAUAAUCCUACUCAAGUUGUCCACCAUCUGUAAGGGAAGGGUUCAGAUCUGUUGUCUUUCUCAGGUAAGCAGCCUUUGCAUAAAUGCUACUAGUGAUGGGGGUUCAGGCUCCUUUUUACCCACCUUUUCUGCCCCCAAACAUCUCUCAGAAGCUGGUCUUUAGAGCGGAGGAUUUUGUGAAUGAAACACACUCCUGGCCUGAGUUUACGGCACAGGUCCUGCUGUGAUGUGAAGUAGGCUAACAUGAAAUUGAUAAUAAUAAUGAGUCAAAGGUUUAGAUUAUAUAUGUUGAACAAAUGUACACAUCAAGUUAAUAAAAUGUCAAGCUGAUAAUUAACUAUUUAAAGGCAAACAGAUGUGUGUAAUGAUACCACGUAAUGCUGUGUUAAGUCAGCCUAAAUCACUGUGGGGGAAAUGUCCUUAACAGUCCUAGCUGUGAGUAACAAGUUACUCAACAACAAAUCACGAAACUCCACCCCAGUUCCUGGUAACUAGCAAUGGAUCCAGAUACUUUUCAGCGACAUUCAAGACAUCUCAAUGAUGCAAUGCUAAGGCACAUCAUCAGUGAUGUAACCAGUAAGGUUAUCAACUGAUCUGGGUCUUUCAGUCAUCAUACUACCUCACCUAGAUUACCCAACCAGCCAUGAUCAGAUCCCAGCCUUUGUAGCAGCCACACAUGGAGCUUUUCUCUUUAGUCAGAGCCAUCAAGUCUCCGUCUCCUGCUGGUGAAGGUAAUCACUCUUUUACCUUCGAUUCAGUGAUACCUGAAGUUCUGUUUUGGUUCCCCAGAGAGAUUGGUUUACUAAGCCCCAACGCCAGACCAGGUGCAGCUUGUGUUAACUUAGCAGACCAAAAACAACAAAGGAUUAAUAUAAACCCCCUCCAGAUCCACAAUUUGUAAGCCUGGAAGGACUAAACGGACUGAUUGCAAAGUAUGUUGGUGAAGACAUGUGUCUGGUAUCAGCUGCUGAGUCUAGUGCUACUAUCAAAAUAAUCAAUGUGCAAAAAAGAGAGGGAUGAGAGGUUGGAAACAUUCAUGAGACUAUUAAAUCUAACAGAUGUAACUUGAAGGUAACUUCCUCGGGUAGCUUUAACUUUAUUAUAUUUUGGCCUAGUUAGUGAGUUGGUUACUUUUUUCUCCCAGUUGACAUAUUAUGCACCAAAUCAAACACGUUAGCAGUCUUUUUGACAGCUCUGUUCCAUUCAUUAAUACGUUAAGACAACUUAUCAAUUUUUGUGUCUCUUCUUCUGAUAAGGUCCACGUUUUUACAUCAGUAUGUGGUGGAGUUGGUGGGAAAUUUAGCUUUUAUCUCAGCAACAGAUGAGUCAUUUCAUAUGGAGCCAUGGACCAUGUGAGAUCCUUAUAGAAAAAUGUUCAUACAAAAACUGCCAAUGCAGUGGUUCAUCACAAGAAAUUUAAUUGAAAAACUCUUUAAUAUUAACUAAUUAUUUAAAAGGAUAUUCCGGCGUAAGAUAAAUUUAGGGUCAAACACACCAUAACACCUAGUUAGGCACACCCUCAAGAGAUGAAUGUUGCCAACCGCUUGCUUCUCUAGUAAUACCAGCUUUAGUAACAACCGAAGGCGCGCAAUACACAGCGGUUUGAGGAGCCAUGAACAAAUCUCAACCAAAACGCCUCUCUAUAGCCACAAAUAAUGCUUAGAACAGCACCUAACUUCAUCAACAGUACAUUUAGGGUCCCAGCCACAACACUAGCCAUCAAACAUCUUUUUAACUCUGCCUGAUUUCUUUGGCAAAGAGACUAAACACAACUCACCCACUCUCUUCCAGCAGCCGCUUGUUUGUAGCGAGACCUCGGGCCAGUCCAUUACGGACUGCAGUGGGGUGCUGCAGCUCAAGAAAGAACAUUUAUGAUCAUUUCUUCAUGGAAAUGCAAUCAGAGGAAAUGAUAAAGUAAUGAUCAUAAAUGUUCUUUAUGAGGUGUGUCACCACCGCUGCAGUCUGUAAUGGAUUGGAUCACUACAAACAAGCAGCUGCUGGAAGAGAGUGGGUUAGUUGUGUUUAGUCUCUUUGCUAAAGAAAUUAGGCAAAGUUAAAAAGAUGCUUGGUGGCUAGUACUAUGGCUAGGACCCUAUAUGUUCUGUUGAUGAAGAUAGGUGCUGUUCUGAGCAUUAUUUGUGGCUAUAGAGUGGCUUUACACCGCUAUGUAUUGCUAUCAUGCGUGUGUUUGACCGUAAAUUAAUUUUACCCUGGAAUAUCCCUUUAACACUUUAAUAAGUAUCUUUGCACAAAAACAGAGAAAAGGAAAAAAAGAAAGUACAUGACUGAUAGUUAUGAAAACACUUAAAACAACACUUCAGUGUAAAUCAACAGCAUGCAGUUUUUACCCCCUCUGUUUCCAUUACAAUAAUGUAAGUUAAUAUUUGUCUUCUUUCAAGUCCUGAAGCUUUUUGGGUGAAGGGUAUUCUGGGACCAGCUUGUUAAGAGUAUCUGAGCGAGAGCUUCUGCUAAGAGCUCCUUCUGCUUGGCAACACUCAAGUGUGGAAAUCUUAGCAUCACUUUUCUUAGAAACGAGCUGUGGAUGUGGAUCAUUAUGAGGACUAAGAGCCCAGAGUCUCACUAUAGGCUCUAUCAGAGUGUACAGAGGCAAAAAGCUGCAUGCUAACAAAGCAUGCAAACAUACUCGCAGACGGUGCUCUGUAUGAACUCGCAGAAUUGACCAUGUUCGGUGAACUGGGCAGCUUAAUUUGUGACCUGUGAACACAACAUUUGUGAACAACCACUCACAUUCAGGGAAGAUCUGUAAGGGAUCAAAAGUUGCUCAGCACUGUGUUUUAUGGCAGCCAAGUUUAGAUUUAUGUCACCAUGUAUUCAGUGUAGAUGCUGCAGGGUAACAUUACAAAGCAGAUUUUCUCGGGUACUUGGAUUUUAAAGCCUGAAGCUUUAUCCAGAUAUUAAGCAUACAUAUUAAAGCUAGAUGAAUAUUUUUAUUUUUUUAGAGCUACAAAGUUUGGUCUUAGUCUAAGUUGUAAAAAACUCGAAUGGGAUUUUUCUUGUCUUUUAAUCAUUCCGACUUAUCUUACUUUCUUGGCUUAUAUAUACCUAUGAUUCUAUUUUAGUAUACAGACAUUAAUGUACUCUGACCCUAGACAAUGAGGUUUGCUCCAAGCAGGCUUUCAGGGAACUGCAGUUUUGUUUUUUUUUUUACCACAUUUGCAUUGGCCGAGACUAAGACUCAAGGUUACUGCUCUGUGCAACCCACUGCAAGACUUUACUUCAUGUUGUGCUGAAGCAUGUGACAGAUUUGUACACACAAGGACUGACAUGAACUGGUGCUAAUUUAACAGCAAACGACAACAACAAUGACAACAAAAACAGAAGAUAGGGAAAAAUUAUUUGGAUUACAUUUGGAUUCAUCAGGAAGCAAAUAGACAAAUUAGUUUGAGAUAAUUAGUUAGAUAUUGUAAGAUUAUCAGCCCGUUUUGUUGUUGUUGCUAGGCCGACCAAUUACACUGCAGUUUGCAUGUUUUUCACACACUGCAGCUGAAUUUACAUUGUACAGCUCAUAAAACAUCAUAAAACGUAACAUGACACCUCCUGCCAGGGCUAUUACAUAAUCCUGCAUGUUACUCUAGUACUUUAAUGUACGCUUUGCACCCUUUAUACCUUAUGUGGAAAUAGUGUUCCUUAAUGAUGAACAUCGAAUAUUAACGAACACUAAAUAAUAGCUGCAUGUUUGUGUCACCAGAGGACUGCUGUCUGUAAUCGCAGACUUAAAAAAACUCACUCCUUAUGAAAAAUGGAUAGAUAUGGGAUUGACUGUUUGGCAGCCUGUGUAUAAUGAAGCUUCUCAGUCAGACUGCAUCUACAGCAGCUUGCAUGUGGCCUGCAGGGAGUCCAGGAGAAGUUCAGAGAGAAUUAAUGUGCAAGAUGAUUGUUUCUUUGGCUGCUUCACAAAGCUGAGCCCUGAGUGCGGCUGGUAGCUCUUCAACACGAGCUCAGAGGGCACAGUGAGUGUUUGAUCCUUCUCAUUGCUAUGCUAGAGAGACUUAGAGGACAACAAGCUUGUGUCUAAUUUGCAUUGCAGCUAACCUGAAGGAAGAAAGGGGAGGGAAAUGUUAUGAGGUAUUAAAAUGGGCAAGAGAAGAUAGCUCAUUGCCAAACAGGGGAGGGGACUUCUUUUGCAUCAACAGUCAGUGAUACAUUAUAAUGUGCUUCAUAAAUACCCACAAAAGGUGCCUUGUUUAAAUCUUAAGGAGUAAAUAAAAUAUGAAGUCCAGAGUCCUCUACAGAGUGAAAUUGGAGCUUAUCUGCUUUUUCACCUGCAGAAUAUCCAAGAAAUUCAGGCUGAGCUGACAGCACAAGUAAUAAAAUCUGACCUUUAAAAGCUCUUCCCAUCACUAAGGGAAGAUUAAAGUUGAAGUCACCACAAUUCAGAGUCUGCCUGGCUGAUACUUUGGUUUCCAAGACACCUCAGUGACUCUGUUCACUGUAAUCAGUUGUGUCAAAGGCACAAACGAAGCAAUAAAGGAAGAGUACACACCAAGGUUAGCUUGUUUGUAUGAAGUAUUGUACCAGUGCCAGUGAAAGUCACUCUUAGUCACUCAGGUAGUUGUUGAGGGUUUUCUGCUUGAGUAUGUCUUGUUUGGUGAAGUGUUUCAGCAAACAGAACAGAAAGUGAAGAUGUGAAAAAUACACAGUGUAUCUUAGUAAACUUACAAGGAAUGUAUAAUGUCAAAUAUGGACCCCCUGUUGAAAUAGAGUAAUCAGAUGUAUAGUAGAUUUACAUUGUGUCAUUACUAUGUAGGUUUGUGAUGACAUCCUAGUGUGGUUUGACCUCUGACAUGCAGGUGGCGCUCAAGACUCACGUCAGACUCAAAGGAAAGAAAGUGAAGGUGAAAUCUAAAGAGAAAAUCAUCUUUUGUAGUUGACAAUAAAUUGAAUGCCAUUCACUCUACGGUAGCCCUGAAGGUCAAUGGCACAGUUUAUUACAGAAAGGCAAAGGAUUAGGAUAGAAGGACAGAAAUUCAAAUAUACACAUUUCUGUAUUCAUGUGAGAUAUUUUCAUGCUUUUUGUAACAUUUUCGUGUUUUAUGACAUGUUUUUCUUUUCUGUCUUUCAAAUAUAAUUGCCAUUGACCUUCAGGGCCACCAUAUAUAUUUCCUGAUACUAUGCAGACAAUUUCCUGCCAGUUAACAUUACAAACCCCAAAGAAUAACGAGUAUGAUGAUGACUAAGAUAAUGGAGACAGGAGACUCAUUUUCAAGACGAGAGCAGAGAACAGUGUUUAAGUCUGCAUCUCUGCCCUUUUGCAGAUGAUGGGCCAUCACGGGUUGUAUUACACUGUGGCUUGUGCAACAUAUUUUGGGUGUCGUGAUCUGCCUCCAAAGACUCAUCUCUCCCAUCCACCACCCCCUUCCUCUGACCGGGAAGAUUUCACAGAGGGAGGGUCCAGCAACCUUGGGAGAUUUUGAAGGCAAAACUCGAUAAAGUUUUUAGAACAUUUCCAGUAAGCCUGUGUAAAAAAAGGAUGUGAUUUUACCAACUUAACAUGUUAGCUGGCCUAUAAUGAAUGACUGAAUACUGCUGUAUGUUUAGCUGCAGGCAUUUGGACUUCCAAAGAUUCUGAUGUUAGAUAGAAACUCUAAAGUACAGGGAC
This is a non-coding RNA of Xyrichtys novacula (pearly razorfish), 6271 nucleotides long. The record is from the annotation of a GenBank genome assembly. Lineage: Eukaryota; Metazoa; Chordata; Actinopteri; Labriformes; Labridae.